This 429-nucleotide ribosomal RNA is filed under the name bacterium. Its description in RNAcentral is "partial 16S ribosomal RNA". It matches the Rfam family "Bacterial small subunit ribosomal RNA", at positions 355 to 776 of the family's 1533-position model. The record is from RNAcentral. RNAcentral also lists the same sequence under 4 other names.
UGGGGAAUAUUGGACAAUGGGCGCAAGCCUGAUCCAGCCAUACCGCGUGGGUGAAGAAGGCCUUCGGGUUGUAAAGCCCUUUUGUUGGGAAAGAAAUCCAGCCGGCUAAUACCUGGUUGGGAUGACGGUACCCAAAGAAUAAGCACCGGCUAACUUCGUGCCAGCAGCCGCGGUAAUACGAAGGGUGCAAGCGUUACUCGGAAUUACUGGGCGUAAAGCGUGCGUAGGUGGUCGUUUAAGUCCGUUGUGAAAGCCCUGGGCUCAACCUGGGAACUGCAGUGGAUACUGGGCGACUAGAGUGUGGUAGAGGGUAGCGGAAUUCCUGGUGUAGCAGUGAAAUGCGUAGAGAUCAGGAGGAACAUCCAUGGCGAAGGCAGCUACCUGGACCAACACUGACACUGAGGCACGAAAGCGUGGGGAGCAAACAGG